This is a transfer RNA of Neotoma lepida (desert woodrat), 72 nucleotides long. It matches the Rfam family "tRNA". Rfam says of the family: Transfer RNA (tRNA) molecules are approximately 80 nucleotides in length. The record is from Rfam. NCBI's taxonomy places the organism in Eukaryota, Metazoa, Chordata, Mammalia, Rodentia, Cricetidae.
GAAGAUAUGGCUCAGUAGUUAAGAGCACUGGUGCUCUUUCAGAAGACCUGGGUUCAAUUCCCAGCACCCACA